UGGGGAUUAGCUCAGCUGGCUAGAGCGCCUGCCUUGCACGCAGGAGGUCAUCGGUUCGACUCCGAUAUUCUCCACAA
Molecule: transfer RNA, 77 nt
Filed under: Flavobacterium columnare
Lineage: Bacteria; Pseudomonadati; Bacteroidota; Flavobacteriia; Flavobacteriales; Flavobacteriaceae
Also listed under: 1 other name
Description: tRNA-Ala
Rfam family: tRNA
About the family: Transfer RNA (tRNA) molecules are approximately 80 nucleotides in length.
Source: RNAcentral